RNAcentral lists this ribosomal RNA (277 nucleotides) under Clostridioides difficile. RNAcentral describes it as "partial 23S ribosomal RNA". It matches the Rfam family "Bacterial large subunit ribosomal RNA", at positions 1894 to 2170 of the family's 2925-position model. The record is from RNAcentral. Lineage: Bacteria; Bacillati; Bacillota; Clostridia; Peptostreptococcales; Peptostreptococcaceae.
AGCAAUCGAAGCAGUGAACUUAAGCCCCAGUAAACGGCGGCCGUAACUAUAACGGUCCUAAGGUAGCGAAAUUCCUUGUCGGGUAAGUUCCGACCCGCACGAAAGGCGUAACGAUUUGGGCACUGUCUCAACAACAGACUCGGUGAAAUUGUAAUUCCGGUGAAGAUGCCGGAUACCUGCGACAGGACGGAAAGACCCCAUGGAGCUUUACUGUAGCUUGACAUUGGGUCUUGGUACUACAUGUACAGGAUAGGUGGGAGGCUUUGAAACCAGGACG